Molecule: ribosomal RNA, 536 nt
Filed under: Acinetobacter gyllenbergii
Lineage: Bacteria; Pseudomonadati; Pseudomonadota; Gammaproteobacteria; Moraxellales; Moraxellaceae
Description: bacterial SSU rRNA
Rfam family: Bacterial small subunit ribosomal RNA
Source: RNAcentral
CUGAGAGGAUGAUCCGCCACACUGGGACUGAGACACGGCCCAGACUCCUACGGGAGGCAGCAGUGGGGAAUAUUGGACAAUGGGCGGAAGCCUGAUCCAGCCAUGCCGCGUGUGUGAAGAAGGCCUUUUGGUUGUAAAGCACUUUAAGCGAGGAGGAGGCUACUAGUACUAAUACUACUGGAUAGUGGACGUUACUCGCAGAAUAAGCACCGGCUAACUCUGUGCCAGCAGCCGCGGUAAUACAGAGGGUGCGAGCGUUAAUCGGAUUUACUGGGCGUAAAGCGUGCGUAGGCGGCUUUUUAAGUCGGAUGUGAAAUCCCCGAGCUUAACUUGGGAAUUGCAUUCGAUACUGGGAAGCUAGAGUAUGGGAGAGGAUGGUAGAAUUCCAGGUGUAGCGGUGAAAUGCGUAGAGAUCUGGAGGAAUACCGAUGGCGAAGGCAGCCAUCUGGCCUAAUACUGACGCUGAGGUACGAAAGCAUGGGGAGCAAACAGGAUUAGAUACCCUGGUAGUCCAUGCCGUAAACGAUGUCUACUAG